Gallus gallus (chicken) is the source of this 329-nucleotide long non-coding RNA. RefSeq lists it as uncharacterized. The transcript is spliced from 2 exons. Lineage: Eukaryota; Metazoa; Chordata; Aves; Galliformes; Phasianidae. The record is from RefSeq and is a predicted model, not a curated record.
GUCACCAACGGGAGCACCAGGAAGAGGAAGAAUGGGUGGUGGGGUUGGGGUAGAACCAUGGUGUUGCCACCAUGGUCGCCGGGCAACCAGGCUGCAGGACUCAGGUCUGCACAGGCCUCAGAAAACCAAAAUGUUCUGACUGAAUGGAAUGGAAACUGAAAAUGAGGAUACAGAACGUGUUAAUUACUGGGCUCUGUAUACGUGAUGGACCAGAAGGCAAAAAGCAUUGCAAAAUAUCUGCGUCCAGAGACCCACCCUUCUAAGGAAUGCCUUAAAGAAUCCCGGGGAGGAAGCUGGCAGGUUAAUUAAAUCCUGCUGAAUUUAACAAA